ACUCAAUCAUAUACAAAACUCAUAGUUUCCUCGUAGAAGAGGAAGAGAACUCAAAAAGAAAAGAAAAGAAAAGAAAAAAAAAUAAGCCGGUGCCUGCAGUGUAUGAGAUUGUGAUAACACGAACAAACCCAUAUAACAACACGAACGAACCCAUAAGUUCGUUACAACUGUGAACACAUGCACUAUUUCAAAGAGAAAUUCACAGCAGAAUUAAUGAGUAGUGAAAUGGAUUCGAGAGAUAGCAGUGCGAACACAAAAUCUAAAGAAAUUGAACUAUAUCCCAAGAAGAGAAAGCGUCAUUCACAAGUAGCGGGGGUUAUUCCCACCAUGGAAGAAUCCAAGGCCUCCUCCUCUUCCGCAACACACGGUUCCAUAUCCGUGAUCGGGCGGCGACGCGCAAUGGAGGACGCCGUCAUGGUGGUUCCCGGCUUGGUGGCGGCGGGGCAGUGGUGUGGCGGUUAUGAUUUCUUCGCGGUUUACGACGGACACGGCGGGACGUUGGUGGCGAACGCUUGCCGCGACAGGCUGCACCUGCUGUUGGCGGAUGAAGUGAGGGAGAACGCGAAGAAGGGAUUGGAUUGGUACGAGGUGAUGUGUUCGUGUUUCAUGAAGAUGGACAAGGAGAUCGGAGUUGGUGGUAAGGCGCGCGAUGACGGUAGCGGAAACACCACAGGUUCAACGGCGGCGGUGGUUGUCGUUGGGAAGAAGGAGAUUGUGGUGGCGAAUUGCGGUGACUCGAGGGCGGUGUUGUGCCGUGGCGGUGUAGCCAUACCACUUUCGCGUGAUCAUAAGCCUGAUCGUUCAGAUGAAAGAGAGAGAAUAGAAGCUGCCGGUGGAAGAGUGAUUAAUUGGAACGGAAGUCGUGUUUUGGGAGUUCUUGCUACUUCCAGAUCCAUUGGGGAUCAUUCGAUGAAACCUUUUGUGAUAUCUGAGCCAGAGACGAUGGUGUACGAGCGAACAGAGUGUGAUGAGUUUGUGGUGGUAGCAAGCGACGGGUUAUGGGAUGUGGUGUCUAACAAGUUUGUUUGUGAGGUUGUACGAAGCUGCCUCCAUGGCCAAAUCAAGAGGAAUUUAAAAGAGGAGACUGUUGUAAGCAAUGCUACAGAAGCUGCAUCUUUGUUGGCAGAGUUGGCCAUGGCUCGUGGAAGCAAAGACAAUAUCAGUGUCAUAGUCAUCCAACUCAACAACACCACUUCAUCCUGAACUCCAUACGGGCUAAAGCCCAAACUACAAAUAAGGCUCAGAUAUUAAAUCCAAGAGCAGCGACAAACCGUGAACAGCAUCGAAAUGUGAGAAUGAGUAAGAAAAAAUUGUUCAUCCGCCAGCUAUACAAUUUCAAGGCUUGAGGCUAUAAAACUUGAAAUGGUAUAUCUUGACAUUUGGGGUGAGAUUCAGCACCAUAUUCUUCCCAUCUUUUUCAUGUUUUGAAGAUGUUGUCACUCUAAACACGACAAAAUGCCUUGUGGAGGCUGGGCUAUGACUGGGGCUGGGGCUGGGGCUGCACAGUGGCGGUGGCUGUGGCUGUGGCUGGGCUAGGGCUGGACGGUGGCUGUGGCUGUGGCUGAGGCUGAGGCUGUGGCUGGGGUGGACUGGGGCUGGAGUAAGGCUGUGGCUUUGGCUGUGGCUCGUCUGUGGCUGUGGCUCGUCUGGGGCUGUGGCUGGGCUGGGGCUGAGGCUGGGGCAGGGGCAGGGCUGGGGCUGGGGCUGGGCUGUGGCAGGACUGGGGCUGUGGCUGAGGCUGGGGCUGUGGCUGCACAGUGGCUGGGCUGUGGCUGUGACUGAGGCUGGGCUAGGACUGUGGUUGAGGCUGGACGGUGGCUGUGGCUGAGGCUGGGGCUGGGGUUGUGGCUGAGGCUGGGCUGGGGCUGAGCCUAGGCUGAGGCUAUGGCUGUGUCUGGGCUGUGGCUGUGGUACAAAAUCUGAUGGAAGGAUCAACACUUUGCGAGUCCAUGAUCUUCUACGGGAAAUCACCAUUUUGAAGUGUAAAGAACAAAAUGCAGCAUGGGCAGAAAAAGAUUCGGUGGCUUUCAGUGCAGAGCACAUUACCAUAUAGGCAGCAAUAUAGCUAUAGUAAACAAUACAAGAAAGAGGAAGAGCAGCACUCAAGACAAUAAGGCAAAAGAAAGAGGGAUUGAUCUUACGCUUAUGCCUUAAUUCCCACCAAACAUCAUCAAAAGAAAGAGCUGGAGAUUUACAAAUUACGACCUCAAGCUCAAGCCGUCCCCUCUCAGUUUUUAGUUUCUCAACUAUUUGAAGUUUUUUUUAUAUCUUCUUACAUCAAGCAUUUGUGCUGCAAGUGGUCUUCACAUAUCUAUAGCUAGAGAAAGCUUGCUUGAAUGGUUGA
Vigna radiata var. radiata (mung bean) is the source of this 2344-nucleotide RNA transcript. It is a transcript of the gene named probable protein phosphatase 2C 51, with no coding region annotated. Lineage: Eukaryota; Viridiplantae; Streptophyta; Magnoliopsida; Fabales; Fabaceae. The record is from RefSeq and is a predicted model, not a curated record. The transcript is spliced from 6 exons.